GACGAACGCUGGCGGCGUGCCUAAUACAUGCAAGUCGAGCGGAACUGGGGGAGCUUGCUCCUUCCAGUUUAGCGGCGGACGGGUGAGUAACACGUGGGCAACCUGCCCUGCAGAUCGGGAUAACUCCGGGAAACCGGUGCUAAUACCGAAUAGUUUGGCGCCUCUCCUGAGCCGCUACGGAAAGACGGUUUCGGCUGUCACUGCAGGAUGGGCCCGCGGCGCAUUAGCUAGUUGGUGGGGUAACGGCCCACCAAGGCGACGAUGCGUAGCCGACCUGAGAGGGUGACCGGCCACACUGGGACUGAGACACGGCCCAGACUCCUACGGGAGGCAGCAGUAGGGAAUCUUCCGCAAUGGACGCAGGUCUGACGGAGCAACGCCGCGUGAGUGACGAAGGUUUUCGGAUCGUAAAACUCUGUUGUGAGGGAAGAACACGUACCAACUAACUAUUGGUACCUUGACGGUACCUCACCAGAAAGCCACGGCUAACUACGUGCCAGCCGCCGCCGUAA
Molecule: ribosomal RNA, 512 nt
Filed under: uncultured bacterium
Lineage: Bacteria
Description: partial 16S ribosomal RNA
Rfam family: Bacterial small subunit ribosomal RNA
Source: RNAcentral